UACAGAGGGUGCAAGCGUUGUUCGGAAUCAUUGGGCGUAAAGGGCGUGUAGGCGGUUUGUUAAGUCAUGUGUGAAAUCCCUCGGCUCAACCGGGGAACGACGCAUGAAACUGGCAAGCUAGAGUACCAAAGAGGGGGGUGGAAUUCCUGGUGUAGCGGUGAAAUGCGCAGAUAUCAGGAGGAACACCGGUGGCGAAGGCGGAUCUCUGGGCCAUUACUGACGCUGAGGAGCGAAAGCGUGGGGAGCGAACAGG
Molecule: ribosomal RNA, 253 nt
Filed under: uncultured bacterium
Lineage: Bacteria
Description: partial 16S ribosomal RNA
Rfam family: Bacterial small subunit ribosomal RNA
Source: RNAcentral